RNAcentral lists this ribosomal RNA (253 nucleotides) under uncultured bacterium. RNAcentral describes it as "partial 16S ribosomal RNA". It matches the Rfam family "Bacterial small subunit ribosomal RNA", at positions 524 to 776 of the family's 1533-position model. The record is from RNAcentral.
UACAGAGGGGGCAAGCGUUGUUCGGAAUUACUGGGCGUAAAGGGCGCGUAGGCGGCCUUCUAAGUCAGACGUGAAAUCCCUCGGCUCAACCGGGGAACUGCGUCUGAGACUGGAAGGCUUGAAUCCGGGAGAGGGAUGUGGAAUUCCAGGUGUAGCGGUGAAAUGCGUAGAUAUCUGGAGGAACACCGGUGGCGAAGGCGGCAUCCUGGACCGGUAUUGACGCUGAGGCGCGAAAGCGUGGGGAGCGAACAGG